RNAcentral lists this ribosomal RNA (301 nucleotides) under uncultured bacterium. RNAcentral's name for it is "partial 16S ribosomal RNA". It matches the Rfam family "Bacterial small subunit ribosomal RNA", at positions 509 to 807 of the family's 1533-position model. The record is from RNAcentral.
CAGUAGCCGCGGUAAUACAGAGGGUGCGAGCGUUAAUCGGAUUUACUGGGCGUAAAGCGUGCGUAGGCGGCUUCUUAAGUCGGAUGUGAAAUCCCUGAGCUUAACUUAGGAAUUGCAUUCGAUACUGGGAAGCUAGAGUAUGGGAGAGGAUGGUAGAAUUCCAGGUGUAGCGGUGAAAUGCGUAGAGAUCUGGAGGAAUAACGAUGGCGAAGGCAGCCAUCUGGCCUAAUACUGACGCUGAGGUACGAAAGCAUGGGGAGCAAACAGGAUUAGAUACCCCUGUAGUCCCUGUCUCUUAUAC